UUAAAAUAUGGGAAAGUGCCAAAGUAAAAAAAAUUGAAAGAAAUGGCGGGCAUCAAAAUUUUUAAGCGGCAAUGUUAUAUUUUUUUUUAUGCGAAAGGUUAAACAUCUUUUUUUUUCAAUGGCUUUCCAACGCUAUGUUAUUUUCCUCACUCACUCUCUUUCUCUCUCUAAAACACUCUCUCCUUGGUUCUUCUCGAUUGCUCUCUCUUCGUGGAGUACUCUCUCCGUCACUCUCUCCUUUGUAAAUUCCACUCAAUUUUUUUCUCUUCCCAGUGAAACCCUCUCCUUCAAUUUUUCUCCCCAGUGGAAGCCCUCUCUACUGCUCUCUUCCUUGGGGAUGCCCUCUCCCGUGCUUUCUCUUGGCAAUGAAGCAUCUACAAGAACAAAGAUCGGAGAACAGCUUCCUCAUAUAGAUCGAAGCGUAGAUCGAAGAGCAUCUCUGCAGAUCGAGCUCAUUGCUCACCGCUGGUUUAGAUCACCGUUCAACCACACCUCUCUUCUUCUUCGGUUCAGAUCUAGCGAAGCUUCAGUGGUUACCAGAGGGGUUUCUACGUUACCAGAGAUAUGGGGUGGUACAUUUUCUCCUACUCAAAAUCUGGGCUCAGCUUCCGUUUCUGGGUCUCUCUCAGCAUUUCUUUAAUGUACAUGAGUCUGCAGGCUUACACUUGUGUUUUUUUUUCAAUCACAAGGUUGAUUCUUUUGUGUUUAAUUAACAGCUUUCUGACCUGUCAUUUCUAUUGGAUUGCUAAUUGGAAUAUCUAGGUUAUUUGCAGUUUUUUAUAUUUGUUGUUUCUAUUGUUUUAGAGCAUGAAAUUUAAGAAUCUGAUCCCCGACAGUGAAUUCAUGCCUAUAGGACAUUAGAUUUGAUGCCUACCUUCCAGUUUACUUGUCAAUUUAUAGGUCUUAUCUUUGUUCCUGACUGCUCUUACCAUCGUAUAUAGGAUUAAAAGCCAAACGUUUUGUCUAAUAUCUUUAAUAAGCAAAAGAAGAAAAGUAUUGUAGGUCCAUGAAAUGAUAUGUAACUAAUUUUAUUACUACUGUAAUUAUUAGUUAGGAAGUAUUAUUAAUUAUUUGUAGCUAUGAUAUAUGAAUGAACUUUAUUAGGUUACCAUAAUAAUUAUGAUCAUGCAGUAGUGCACAUCCAGGCAACUUAUAAUGUGGUUAAUUUAAAAGACAUUAAAAGUGAAAUUGAAUUAAGAGUACCACUUCACAUGAGUAUGAAUAUAUGGAGUUUUAUAUUCUCCAAUAUUUGUCUUACACAUCAUACCCACCUUAUAAAUAUUUGUAAAUAUUAGGCUGUGACAAUUUUCUUUUGAGAAAAUGCUACUUACUGAUUGGGGUAACCCCACAUGGGCCCACAUAGGGCCCAAUUCAAUCAAUGGUGAGCGUGUCUUACUUUGCUUUUUCUUUAUCUAUUUUCUUUAUUUCUUUUGAUCUUUCGUAAUGCUAAGGUAAUAUUAACAACAUAUAUAUGACCCACAAUUGUUGAGGAUUAAUUGAUUAUUGUCAAUGGUGCUAGUUUUAUAUAAUAAUACUUUAGCUUAAUAUAUGUAUAUAAUUGUACUUGUAAAUAUUAUUAAUUGAAAUCAAUACGAGUUCAAAACAUUCAUGCUCAACUUCUUCUCUUGUUCUCAAAUUCUUGUUUUCUCUGUUCUCAAACUUAAUAAUAAUAAUGAUUUACUUUUUAAAGUUGAGUAUUUUUUUUAAGGUGUGAAAGUUAAAUACUCUACUUUCCUCAAAGAAGAAAAAAGAAGUUAAACACUCGACAACGUUCAACAAGUAAAGUCAAUAUUAUUCAUACCUAAUUAAGAAGUUAAACACUGCCCUAAUUAAGAGUUGUUGUGAAUAUAGUAACAUUCCAAAUUAAGAGAUUCUAACGUUCUUGAUUCUAACAACUUGUGUUUGUGGUAUUGUGUCAUAAAACCUUAUUUAUGCUUUUCCCCUUUCCCUCUUCAGCACCCCAAAGACAACUUGUGUCUGUUCUGAAAUUGAUGUUUCUCCUCGCCACUCCAUAGACAGCUCACUGAAGUUAUUUUCCUGAGACACGCAAUCACGCACUCACACCUCUAGGCUUCUCCUCAUCAGUCCCCGAACAGUUUAGACUUCAAAUCUUUGGAUGAUUCAACAAGUGAAGUGCAAAAGAAAAUUUGAUUUGAACGGCUUUGGUGUGCUGACAUUUGGAAGAUCAUGAAUUCCUACCUUUACUUUUGAAUAUGUAACUGUUUAAGAUUAUUUUGUUAACUAUUCUGAGAAUGUUUUGUUUAUGUUAAUUAGGCAUUGUUGAAUAUUUUAAGACUUUUGGAUUAUUUUUUAGAUAAUCUUGAAUGUAUUUUGACACAAUUAUUUAGUUAUAUGUGUUAUGAACCAUAUAAUUGGUACUCAAAAAUAUAUUUGUACAAUGUUAAGAGUGUUUUAAGUAUAUUAAAUGAAGCGGG
Humulus lupulus (European hop) is the source of this 2435-nucleotide RNA transcript. RefSeq lists it as uncharacterized. The transcript has 4 exons. The record is from RefSeq and is a predicted model, not a curated record. Lineage: Eukaryota; Viridiplantae; Streptophyta; Magnoliopsida; Rosales; Cannabaceae.